UACGGCUCAGUAACACGUGGUUAACCUGCCCUAAGGUGGUGAAUACUCCCGGGAAACUGGGGCUAAUGCACCAUAGUGGAUACUUGCUGGAAUGCUGUAUCCUCGAAAGAUCCGUCGCCUUAGGAUGGGACUGCGUCCGAUUAGGUAGUUGGUGGGGUAACGGCCCACCAAGCCUGUCAUCGGUACGGGUUGUGGGAGCAAGAUCCCGGAGAUGGAUUCUGAGACAUGAAUCCAGGCCCUACGGGGCGCAGCAGGCGCGCAAACUUUACAAUGCGAGCAAUCGUGAUAAGGAAACCCUGAGUGCCUGUUGAUGCAGGCUGUUCAUCUGUUUAAAUUGCAGGUGAAGAAAGGGCAGGGCAAGACCGGUGCCAGCCGCCGCGGUAAUACCGGCUGCUCGAGUGAUGGCCACUAUUACUGGGUUUAAAGCGUCCGUAGCUUGACUGAUAGGUCUCUUGGGAAAUCUUAACGCUUAACGUUAAGGCGUCUAAGAGAUACCGUCAGUCUUGGAACUGGGAGAGGUAAACCGUACUUCGGGGGUAGGAGUGAAAUCUUGUAAUCCUCGAGGGACGACCUAUGGCGAAGGCAGUUUACCAGAACAGCUUCGACAGUGAGGGACGAAAGCUGGGGAGCAAACGGGAUUAGAUACCCCGGUAGUCCCAGCCGUAAACAAUGUGCGCAGUUUAUCGGUAACCACGCGUUMCUGAUGCGCCGCAGAGAAAUCGUGAAACGCACCACCYUKGGAAG
Molecule: ribosomal RNA, 744 nt
Filed under: uncultured Methanocorpusculum sp.
Lineage: Archaea; Methanobacteriati; Methanobacteriota; Methanomicrobia; Methanomicrobiales; Methanocorpusculaceae
Description: bacterial SSU rRNA
Rfam family: Archaeal small subunit ribosomal RNA
Source: RNAcentral